This 227-nucleotide ribosomal RNA is filed under the name Clostridia bacterium. RNAcentral describes it as "partial 23S ribosomal RNA". It matches the Rfam family "Bacterial large subunit ribosomal RNA", at positions 2699 to 2925 of the family's 2925-position model. The record is from RNAcentral. Lineage: Bacteria; Bacillati; Bacillota; Clostridia.
GGACGCACCUCUGGUGUAUCGGUUGUCACGCCAGUGGCAUGGCCGAGUAGCUAUGUGCGGAUUGGAUAAACGCUGAAAGCAUCUAAGCGUGAAGCCAUCUCCAAGAUUAGAUUUCCCAUAGCGUAAGCUAGUAAGACCCCUUGUAGACUACGAGGUUGAUAGGCUGCGUAUGUAAGUACAGUGAUGUAUUCAGUUAAGCAGUACUAAUAGGUCGAGGGCUUGACCUC